AGCCCUUGUGAUGAAGAUAGAACAAGUCUGGGGAGGCUUUGGCAUUUCUGCACAAUGCUGCUUCCUGAUUGUGACCCAAGACGCAGAUUCUGAACUAGGCAAAUAUCCCAAACUCCAGAUUACAUCUGAUCUUCAUCUCUGAUCUGAAAAGCUUCGCAGGCCAAAAGAGAAUUGAGAUGAGGAGUGAAAUACAGAAUGCUGGUGAAUCUUUCCAGUUGCCACCCAAACCACUUGGCGAGCCAAGCCAAAUCACCGAAAAUGGAAGUAGUGGAACUACUUCCAAACCGUGCUGCUGCUUCUAAACCAAACUGCGGUGUAGGUGGGGACAGAGCAAGGGGACACAACCCAGCCAGGGCGAAAUUGAAAGUCACCUGUCUGAGCCGCGGAAGGAAGUCAGCGCUUCCCAGUUUGAGACUGUUCCCUGACUGGUCCCACAGCAGCUGGAACGCUUCCGAUUGCUGCUGAUGGAUUCCCAUGGAUCAGCCAGUGACACAAGCUGCCAGAGCGACUGAAGCGAUCUGGAGUUACGCUUCUCCCCUUCUGCGUUCAGAUCCGUGAAAGGAAGGAGAAGAGGGGAGAAGAAGAGGGGAGAAGAGAAGAGAGGGGGAAAGAAAAGGACAAGAAGGGAGGGAAGGGAGGGAAGGGGAGGGAAGG
This is a non-coding RNA of Anas platyrhynchos (mallard), 654 nucleotides long. NCBI's taxonomy places the organism in Eukaryota, Metazoa, Chordata, Aves, Anseriformes, Anatidae. The record is from RefSeq and is a predicted model, not a curated record.